Molecule: transfer RNA, 73 nt
Filed under: Felis catus (domestic cat)
Lineage: Eukaryota; Metazoa; Chordata; Mammalia; Carnivora; Felidae
Also listed under: 2 other names
Rfam family: tRNA
About the family: Transfer RNA (tRNA) molecules are approximately 80 nucleotides in length. Their secondary structure includes four short double-helical elements and three loops (D, anti-codon, and T loops). Further hydrogen bonds mediate the characteristic L-shaped molecular structure. tRNAs have two regions of fundamental functional importance: the anti-codon, which is responsible for specific mRNA codon recognition, and the 3' end, to which the tRNAs corresponding amino acid is attached (by aminoacyl-tRNA synthetases). tRNAs cope with the degeneracy of the genetic code in two manners: having more than one tRNA (with a specific anti-codon) for a particular amino acid; and 'wobble' base-pairing, i.e. permitting non-standard base-pairing at the 3rd anti-codon position.
Source: Rfam by way of RNAcentral
ACCUGGCUGGCUCAGUCAGUAGAGCGUGUGACUCUUAAUCUCAGGGUUGUGAGUUCGAGCCCCACAUUGGGUG